RNAcentral lists this ribosomal RNA (467 nucleotides) under uncultured bacterium. Its description in RNAcentral is "partial 16S ribosomal RNA". It matches the Rfam family "Bacterial small subunit ribosomal RNA", at positions 28 to 507 of the family's 1533-position model. The record is from RNAcentral.
GACGAACGCUGGCGGCGUGCUUAACACAUGCAAGUCGAACGGAAAGGCCCUGCUUUUGUGGGGUGCUCGAGUGGCGAACGGGUGAGUAACACGUGAGUAACCUGCCCUUGACUUUGGGAUAACUUCAGGAAACUGGGGCUAAUACCGGAUAGGAGCUCCUGCUGCAUGGUGGGGGUUGGAAAGUUUCGGCGGUUGGGGAUGGACUCGCGGCUAUCAGCUUGUUGGUGGGGUAGUGGCUUACCAAGGCUUUGACGGGUAGCCGGGCUGAGAGGGUGACCGGCCACAUUGGGACUGAGAUACGGCCCAGCCUCCUACGGGAGGCAGCAGUGGGGAAUAUUGCACAAUGGGCGGAAGCCUGAUGCAGCAACGCCGCGUGCGGGAUGACGGCAUUCGGGUUGUAAACCGCUUUCGCCUGUGACGAAGCGUGAGUGACGGUAAUGGGUAAAGAAGCACCGGCUAACUACGUG